Molecule: long non-coding RNA, 1641 nt
Organism: Aedes albopictus (Asian tiger mosquito)
Lineage: Eukaryota; Metazoa; Arthropoda; Insecta; Diptera; Culicidae
Exons: 2
Source: RefSeq, a predicted model, not a curated record
CACAAACUUAUUUACAGACCACUUACUGGGAAGAAAUCCGAUGAAAAAUCAUGGUUCUCGGGAAUAGAAUUUUUCAUGAAGUACUAGCACAUUUUCCUCUAUUUUGAUCACGAUUUUUUCAGCGUGUUCAUCAGAACCCCCCCUCGUCAUGUAAAUAUUAUUUCCGUCCCUUUCUUUCACACGUGGAAAUAAAACGUCAAUGCAAGAAACACUUGAAUAAAUAACGUGCUCCGUUUCAAUUAAUUUGUCAGUAAUUAUAUUAAUAUUCACCUUAAUUGUCAUAAAAUGGUAAAUAUUUAUGUGACUUCAAUCAAAUUUGAUGAUAUAUAGUUAAUUUAUUUCAAAACUGAGGAUUUAUUAUACAAAAUUCUCUUGAAAAUAUUAUGUAUUCCUUGGCUUGAAAAUGCAUUUGGAAGAAGGCCGUCUUUUCUGCAUGGUGCACGUUCUCGUCUGAGUUCGCUCCUUGUUUACUCCUGCAUCGAUUUGUUUAUAAAUAAUAAUGAAUGUGCGUCUUGACAUGAAAGCAAAUCGGAGCGAGCAGAGUGCCGAGAUUGGCUACCGCAACACAAACAUCCCGCAAGACACCUCAAGCCCAGUCCCAGUAGAAACGAGUUCUUCUGCCUAAACUACAGUCAAAGGCCCCUCCACGACGCAAGUUACAGUUGUUCAUCCUCAGCCGAAACCUGCCCCAGCCCCAGCCAAAGAAAACAAGCGAGCUAGUCAAAACAUACUAAGUAUAGAAGUCUUCGUGUUUUUGAUCAAUUCAAGUGACCUGUCCAGCAACUCCAAUUCGCCUACGCUAGAUUACAAAUUCGGUCAAACAUCGAAAAAGCCGGGAGCUGUGUAAGGGGCUGCUGAGCCAGCACCUCCCGCCCUGGAACCGACAAAGCCCACAACCACCAGUGAACAACACUCGCAUCCAGUCCAGCAGUCACCAAACCAGCACCAGUCAGCACAGCAUCCCCGGCUCCCAUACCCAUACCCUCCGGCAGCAACUACAUGGCAUACGGCACCGUAUGUAGAACCAUCCGCCACACCACAAACUCGGCAAAAAGUUGCUGACAAACAGCUCUCCGUCGAGGAAGAUGACAGUCGAUCGAAGAGCGCGGACUCGGGUGAUCAGCUCAACGCUGCCAACAGCCGCAAGGGAAUACAAAGAGAGCAGUUGGCACCAGGAACGUCCGCCACCACCACGGACCAGCCGAUUCCGAGAACUAGUCGGAUGGGGGCAUGUUGGUGAUCGGGGAGCGCCUCCACAUAUCGGCGGAGACUGCGCAAGAGUUCAGCAGCGUUGGACAAGCGAUCUGAAAGGAACGGAACAGACUGCGUUUAUAAUGCUUUACCUUAGUACGUUCUACUACAAUGGAGCUCCGCUCAUCGGAAUGGACCAGUUGAGCAUCAAGUGUGGGCCUGAUUACGAGUGUCACUUCACGGUGAAAACAAAAAAGUGACACCGGUAAUAAGGACGGUGAAAGUGAUUCCCAUUUGAUUAACCCACAACUUUUUCACCGUGGAUUCGCAAUGUGUCACCGUGAUCGAUUUCCACCGUGAAGUGACACUCAUAAUAAGGCCCUGUAUCAAAAUGAAAUGUAGGUUGAAAACUCGAUAAAAGGUAAAUAUAAGUUAUGAAUGCGGCACAAA